RNAcentral lists this ribosomal RNA (466 nucleotides) under uncultured bacterium. Its description in RNAcentral is "partial 16S ribosomal RNA". It matches the Rfam family "Bacterial small subunit ribosomal RNA", at positions 339 to 795 of the family's 1533-position model. The record is from RNAcentral.
CUACGGGUCGCUCCAGUAAGGAAUAUUGCGCAAUGGGCGAAAGCCUGACGCAGCAACGCCACGUGAUCGAUGAAGCUUUAAGGAGUGUAAAGAUCUGUCCUAGGGGAAGAAUAGCUCCCAGUCGAAUAGGCUGGGUGCAUGACGGUACCUUAGAAGAAAGCGCCGGCUAACUUCGUGCCAGGCAGCCGCGGUAAUACGAGGGGCGCAAGCGUUGUCCGGAUUUAUUGGGCGUAAAGGGUGCGUAGGCGGGAUUGCAAGUUAGGAUUUAAAUCCCACAGCUUAACUGUGGACCUGGUUCUAAAACUGCAGUUCUUGAGUUCGAGAGGGGGAAGCGGAAUUCCUGGUGUAGCGGUGGAAUGCGUAGAUAUCAGGAGGAACACCGGUGGCGAAGGCGGCUUUCUGGAUCGAUACUGACGCUAAGGCACGAAAGCGUGGGGAGCAAACAGGAUUAGAUACCCCGGUAGUC